RNAcentral lists this ribosomal RNA (1140 nucleotides) under Sodreana curupira. RNAcentral describes it as "partial large subunit ribosomal RNA". It matches the Rfam family "Eukaryotic large subunit ribosomal RNA", at positions 60 to 921 of the family's 3401-position model. The record is from RNAcentral. Lineage: Eukaryota; Metazoa; Arthropoda; Arachnida; Opiliones; Gonyleptidae.
AGAAAUCAACAGAGAUUCCCCUAGUAACGGCGAGCGAACGGGGAAGAGCCCAUCGCCCAAUCCGCCGCCCGAACGGGCGGUCCGGAAAUUUGGCGUAUGGGAGAGACGCUUUCGGGUGCCGCCUCCGGUGCAAGUCCCCCUGACCGGGGCUCCCACCCCGAGAGGGUGCAAGGCCCGUAGCGGCCGGAAGGCGGUCCCGGAUGUCCUCUCCCGGGAGUCGGGUUGCUUGAGAGUGCAGCCCCAAUCAGGUGGUAAACUCCAUCUAAGGCUAAAUACGACCUGGAGACCGAUAGCGAACAAGUACCGUGAGGGAAAGUUGAAAAGGACUUUGAAGAGAGAGUUCAAGAGUACGUGAAACCGUUCGGAGGUAAACGAGUGGGCCCUCGAAGUGUGAAGGCGGGGGGACUCAGCCGAACGCCGUCGAGCCCGCCGGCGGGUCCGCGCUUCCCUCCCGGGACGCGGCCCGCCGGUGUGCUGGCUCCGGCUUGCGGCGCAUUUCCUCCCGUCCUCCGACGCCGCGACCGGUCGGGCGCGCCACGAGCAGUCGGCCUUACUCGCGGGAAACGGAAGGUAGCCGGGUCGGCGCGCACGCGCCGCUCCCCGGUGUUCUAGCCGUCCCGCAAUCGAGUCAGCCGUUCGCCCGACCGCAGGAACCAAGGCCCUCAGGGGCCCCGCCGUGCCCUCCCCGCUCGGGGAUCGCUUCCCGCCUCGGAAGGGAUGCCGCUUGUUUCCGCGCCGCACCUCCGGUGCGCGCGGGACGGCGGCGCCCGCUGGCCGGGGCGUUUGCGAUUCGGGUGCUGGCGGUCUGCGGCGAGUAGGUCGGUCACCCACUCGACCCGUCUUGAAACACGGACCAAGGAGUUUAACAUGCACGCGAGUCACUGGGUCGUGAGCAGGCCCAAGGGCGCAAUGAAAGUGAAGGGCGGCCCAUGCCGUCCGCGUUGGGAUCCUCCGGCCUCCGUGCCGGGGGCGCACCAACGGCUCGUCCGGGCCGCCACGUCGGCCGGGCGAAGCUAGAGCGUGCACGUUGAGACCCGAAAGAUGGUGAACUAUGGCUGGGCAGGACGAAGCCAGAGGAAACUCUGGUGGAGGUCCGCAGCGGUUCUGACGUGCAAAUCGAUCGUCAGACCUGGCUAUAGG